RNAcentral lists this long non-coding RNA (204 nucleotides) under Elaeis guineensis (African oil palm). Its description in RNAcentral is "long non-coding RNA (EGUI_LNC010055)". Lineage: Eukaryota; Viridiplantae; Streptophyta; Magnoliopsida; Arecales; Arecaceae. The record is from RNAcentral.
UAAAAGAAGAGCAAAAUUGGUUCAAAGAGGAAGAUUUGAAGAAGUGGAAGGUUAAUCAAUUAGGCACUGGACUAAGCUUGAAAAAUUUGGGGGGUAUUUGGUUCAUGAUUGGAAUCAGAAUGGGAGUCAGAAUCGGAAUGGAUUGGAAUCGGAAUCAGAAUCGGAAUGGCCUAAUCCCCUGAAGCAUUUAGUUCGUGAUCGAAA